RNAcentral lists this ribosomal RNA (429 nucleotides) under Chloroflexota bacterium. RNAcentral describes it as "Chloroflexi bacterium partial 16S ribosomal RNA". It matches the Rfam family "Bacterial small subunit ribosomal RNA", at positions 355 to 776 of the family's 1533-position model. The record is from RNAcentral. Lineage: Bacteria; Bacillati; Chloroflexota.
UGGGGAAUAUUGCACAAUGGGCGCAAGCCUGAUGCAGCCAUGCCGCGUGUAUGAAGAAGGCCUUCGGGUUGUAAAGUACUUUCAGUCGGGAGGAAGGUGUCAAGGUUAAUAACCUUGGCAAUUGACGUUACCGACAGAAGAAGCACCGGCUAACUCCGUGCCAGCAGCCGCGGUAAUACGGAGGGUGCAAGCGUUAAUCGGAAUUACUGGGCGUAAAGCGCACGCAGGCGGUUGAUUGAGUCAGAUGUGAAAUCCCCGGGCUUAACCCGGGAAUUGCAUCUGAUACUGGUCAGCUAGAGUCUUGCAGAGGGGGGUAGAAUUCCAUGUGUAGCGGUGAAAUGCGUAGAGAUGUGGAGGAAUACCGGUGGCGAAGGCGGCCCCCUGGACAAAGACUGACGCUCAGGUGCGAAAGCGUGGGGAGCAAACAGG